This 306-nucleotide ribosomal RNA is filed under the name Triticum aestivum (bread wheat). RNAcentral's name for it is "partial small subunit ribosomal RNA". Lineage: Eukaryota; Viridiplantae; Streptophyta; Magnoliopsida; Poales; Poaceae. The record is from RNAcentral.
AUGCUUAACAAUCCGCCGCCUCAAGACCAUGAUUUCCUUGCCGAACAAGUGCAAGUUGACACUUCAAGCCAUGCAGACCGGCCAACCAGCCCUGUCCAAACUGAUGACAAACCGGUCAGUCCAGUUAAGGAUACUGACAAUCCGCCGACUCCAGUGAGGGCUGCCGAUGACCAAGAUGAUGACAUUAUGAUUACUGGCACUGGCCACACCACUCCUGGCAACCCGGUCGCUUUGUCAAAGCAUACUGCCAAGGACAACCUCUCUGCUAUCGGCAAAGGCAAAUGGAAUGCCGAUUUAUCAAGCUAG